This 453-nucleotide ribosomal RNA is filed under the name uncultured Porphyromonadaceae bacterium. RNAcentral describes it as "partial 16S ribosomal RNA". It matches the Rfam family "Bacterial small subunit ribosomal RNA", at positions 341 to 792 of the family's 1533-position model. The record is from RNAcentral. Lineage: Bacteria; Pseudomonadati; Bacteroidota; Bacteroidia; Bacteroidales; Porphyromonadaceae.
ACGGAAGGCAGCAGUGAGGAAUAUUGGUCAAUGGGCGGAAGCCUGAACCAGCCAAGUCGCGUGAAGGAUGAAGGUAUUAUGUAUUGUAAACUUCUUUAGAUGCAGAGAAAUAAGCCCCUCGCGAGGGGUGAUGCUAGUAUGCAUAGAAUAAGGAUCGGCUAACUCCGUGCCAGCAGCCGCGGUAAUACGGAGGAUCCGAGCGUUAUCCGGAUUUAUUGGGUUUAAAGGGUGCGCAGGCGGCUUUUUAAGUCAGCGGUCAAAUCGUGAGGCUCAACCUCAUCCCGCCGUUGAUACUGGAAGGCUUGAUUGCGGUCGAGGUAGGCGGAAUUCGUCGUGUAGCGGUGAAAUGCAUAGAUAUGACGAAGAACACCGAUUGCGUAGGCAGCUUACCAGGCCGUAAAUGACGCUCAUGCACGAAAGUGCGGGGAUCGAACAGGAUUAGAUACCCUGGUA